This 246-nucleotide ribosomal RNA is filed under the name uncultured Lactobacillus sp. RNAcentral describes it as "partial 16S ribosomal RNA". It matches the Rfam family "Bacterial small subunit ribosomal RNA", at positions 116 to 355 of the family's 1533-position model. Lineage: Bacteria; Bacillati; Bacillota; Bacilli; Lactobacillales; Lactobacillaceae. The record is from RNAcentral.
CGUGGGUAACCUGCCCAAGAGAUCGGGAUAACACCUGGAAACAGAUGCUAAUACCGGAUAACAACAGAUGAUGCCUAUCAACUGUUUAAAAGAUGGUUCUGCUAUCACUCUUGGAUGGACCUGCGGUGCAUUAGCUAGUUGGUAGGGUAACGGCCUACCAAGGCGAUGAUGCAUAGCCGAGUUUAGAGACUGAUCGGCCACAUUGGGACUGAGACACGGCCCAAACUCCUACGGGAGGCAGCAGCU